CAUGCAAGUCGAGCGCCCCGCAAGGGGAGCGGCAGACGGGUGAGUAACGCGUGGGAAUCUACCCAAUACUACGGAAUAGCUCCGGGAAACUGGAAUUAAUACCGUAUGUGCCCGACAGGGGAAAGAUUUAUCGGUAUUGGAUGAGCCCGCGUUGGAUUAGCUAGUUGGUGGGGUAAUGGCCUACCAAGGCGACGAUCCAUAGCUGGUCUGAGAGGAUGAUCAGCCACACUGGGACUGAGACACGGCCCAGACUCCUACGGGAGGCAGCAGUGGGGAAUAUUGGACAAUGGGCGAAAGCCUGAUCCAGCCAUGCCGCGUGAGUGAUGAAGGCCUUAGGGUUGUAAAGCUCUUUUGUGCGGGAAGAUAAUGACUGUACCGCAAGAAUAAGCCCCGGCUAACUUCGUGCCAGCAGCCGCGGUAAUACGAAGGGGGCUAGCGUUGCUCGGAAUCACUGGGCGUAAAGCGCACGUAGGCGGACUCUUAAGUCGGUGGUGAAAUCCUGGAGCUCAACUCCAGAACUGCCUUCGAUACUGGGAGUCUCGAGUUCGGGAGAGGUGAGUGGAACUGCGAGUGUAGAGGUGAAAUUCGUAGAUAUUCGCAAGAACACCAGUGGCGAAGGCGGCUCACUGGCCCGAUACUGACGCUGA
This 647-nucleotide ribosomal RNA is filed under the name uncultured bacterium. Its description in RNAcentral is "bacterial SSU rRNA". It matches the Rfam family "Bacterial small subunit ribosomal RNA", at positions 54 to 749 of the family's 1533-position model. The record is from RNAcentral.